This is a non-coding RNA of Potamilus streckersoni, 73 nucleotides long. The record is from the annotation of a GenBank genome assembly. NCBI's taxonomy places the organism in Eukaryota, Metazoa, Mollusca, Bivalvia, Unionida, Unionidae.
GGUUCGGUGACCUAGUGGUUAGAGCGUCCGUCUUGGAUGCAGGAGGUCGAGGGUUCGAAUCCAGACUGAGUCG